GCCCUGUGGUUACUGGACACUGCUUUGUGCAUGCAGUGCUUCAGUUGGUAGAAGUGGGCCAAAAGUGAUACUGUGAUUUACGCAUGGAGUCCGUGACACGUGAGCAGCCUCCAUAGCCCGAUCACAGUUACAGAC
This is a non-coding RNA of Mesitornis unicolor (brown roatelo), 135 nucleotides long. NCBI's taxonomy places the organism in Eukaryota, Metazoa, Chordata, Aves, Mesitornithiformes, Mesitornithidae. The record is from Rfam.